This 596-nucleotide ribosomal RNA is filed under the name uncultured bacterium. RNAcentral's name for it is "bacterial SSU rRNA". It matches the Rfam family "Bacterial small subunit ribosomal RNA", at positions 9 to 617 of the family's 1533-position model. The record is from RNAcentral.
GAGUUUGAACCUGGCUCAGGAUGAACGCUGGCGGCGUGCCUAAUACAUGCAAGUCGAGCGAACCACUUCGGUGGUGAGCGGCGAACGGGUGAGUAACACGUAGGUGGUCUGCCCAUCAGACGGGGACAACGAUUGGAAACGAUCGCUAAUACCGGAUAGGACGAAAGUUUAAAGGUGCUUCUGGCACCGCUGAUGGAUGAGCCUGCGGCGCAUUAGCUAGUUGGUAGGGUAAAGGCCUACCAAGGCGACGAUGCGUAGCCGACCUGAGAGGGUGAACGGCCACACUGGGACUGAGACACGGCCCAGACUCCUACGGGAGGCAGCAGUAGGGAAUCUUCGGCAAUGGGCGAAAGCCUGACCGAGCAACGCCGCGUGAAUGAUGAAGGCCUUCGGGUUGUAAAAUUCUGUUAUAAGGGAAGAACGACUUUAGUAGGAAAUGGCUAGAGUGUGACGGUACCUUAUGAGAAAGCCACGGCUAACUACGUGCCAGCAGCCGCGGUAAUACGUAGGUGGCGAGCGUUAUCCGGAAUUAUUGGGCGUAAAGAGCGCGCAGGUGGUUGAUUAAGUCUGAUGUGAAAGCCCACGGCUUAACCGUG